Molecule: transfer RNA, 77 nt
Filed under: Variovorax paradoxus
Lineage: Bacteria; Pseudomonadati; Pseudomonadota; Betaproteobacteria; Burkholderiales; Comamonadaceae
Also listed under: 9 other names
Description: tRNA-Gly
Rfam family: tRNA
About the family: Transfer RNA (tRNA) molecules are approximately 80 nucleotides in length. Their secondary structure includes four short double-helical elements and three loops (D, anti-codon, and T loops).
Source: RNAcentral
GCAGCCGUAGCUCAGCCAGGUAGAGCGCAACGUCGCCAACGUUGAGGCCGAGGGAUCGAAGCCCUCCUGCUGCUCCA